Molecule: long non-coding RNA, 3610 nt
Filed under: Homo sapiens (human)
Lineage: Eukaryota; Metazoa; Chordata; Mammalia; Primates; Hominidae
Description: non-protein coding lnc-CCDC186-1:3
Source: RNAcentral
AAUUGAGCGGCUCCUGAGAGUCCCGAGCUGAUCGCGUAGCUAGUGCCUCCCGUGCGCCCGCGGGUUCCUGCGGACGCACCCCUUCCUGCGCCCGCUGGUUCCUGGUCCCUGUUCCCCCGCGCCCCCUUCCGCGCCUGGCUCCCCCCGGGGCCCCGUCCCCUCCCUCAGCCCCCACUCGCUCCCGCACCCACUCCUGCGCCCCGUUUGCCUCCCGCACCCGCUCCUGCGCCCCGUUUGCCUCCCGCACCCGCUCCUGCGCCCCGUUUGCCUCCAGCACUCGGCUCCCUCCUGCGCCCCCGCUCCCCCCGCAUCCCCUCGACCUGCAGUUCCGGGGUUCUCUGCGGAACAGAGCGCUAGCUCCCUUGAGCGGGGAGGGGACCUUGGUGUUCAGGAAGCGCCAGAGCGCCUGGGACAGCUUGUCCGCCAGGCUUGGAGGAGUUUGCCCUGCGAGCUUGGUUGUGAUGUGGGGCAGCCUAGCAGGGUGUGUGUAAAACCCUUCCCCCGUCAAGACGGGACCCAGCCAGCAUGCGUCGUGACAGCUUGGGGGAUUGGAGGUGGGUGUUAGUGGUUAGAAGAAACUUCCCAGCAGAGCGGGUUGCUGGAGCCAAGCGCGCAUCUGUCAAGAAUGCUCUCUGGGCGCUGUUCUUGCAAGGAUCCUCUGUUGAACCUCGAGUGCAGUAGAUGUGGAAAGGAAGCGAAGGUUUGUGCAUCUAACAGCUAACGCUGAGGGCCCUUUGGAAUCGUACACACUCCUCAGUCCUAGCUAAUGAACGUGUGAGCAUGAUGCAAAAAUGUAUGCUCAUGAUAUGAAAGGAGAGGCUUAGGGAGACAGAAACGUUGAGAUACAGAGUAAACGAUACCACCGCGAGGGGGAAAAAACGCGUUUAAUUACAUUUUAGACUUUUCAAUGAUAACACCUGUAUUUUGUGUUUUAUUACUCAUGUGAUUUUAUAAUUUGAGCUGGGUCAAUACAAACAAAAAGGUACUGUCAGUUUAUGCUGACGUAAUGAACUGCGAUUUCAGAUUCCUUGGUCUGCGUGCUUGUUUUCUCCUUUGCCCAAGUUCCCAGAUUCUCAAAACUCUGAGAUUAGUUUUGAAGGGAUGAGACAAGAAAACAUAUAAAUACUCCAGAGGAUUAAAAUCCAAAAGCAUUUAAAGUUGUAUCUGUGGUUUUUUUUUUUUUUUUUUUUGAGUUGGCAAAUGAAUUGCUUUGAAAUUAGUGAGUUGUUAACCUGGCAAAAAGGAUUAUACUGGGGGUGAGGGGACAAGAAAGCCAUGAAUAUGCAAUAUGGCAGGACUGCAAGCCCCUUCUCUAAUUUGGCUCCUGUAGUGUCCUCAGCUCAGGCCUGAAAUAAAAAAAAAAAUAAAAAAAUUAAAAAAAUCUCUAAUUGAGUCCUUGAGGAGUAAACAGCUUCUAAUUGUUUAUGUAAGGGUGCAUGAAAAUGUUAUAUAAUGCUCACAGGUCCUUCUAGCAUUGGAAUAAGAACAGCGCCCGUAACGAACAUCAUGUUCGUUGAUGGUCAUCAAUAUGACCAAGCUCAUAUCCUUACCUUGCAAGGAGAGACCGACUUCCACAGCUGUCCAGGUCAAAAGCAAAAAGUAAUGUUUUUCAAGUUUAUAUAAAAUCAAGCAGUUUUAACCACUUUCUCUUACAUAAAUGCAAACAUAUGAAUUUGCUUUAGGCCCAAACCUCAGCAUCAGUAUGUUAAAACUGGGGAGUGAUUUGUUUAUUCACCCCCUGCCCAUGAUUUAUCAGCUGAUUUUCCAACUUGGGGAGGUUGAGGAGGAGUGGCCAGGAAACAAGAGGCGUUAGAAAGGGGAGGAAGGAGACUACACCCCAAGUUAUCCAAGUCACUGAAAGCCUGAGACUCCUGGCUUCUUUCUUUUUAUUUUUUUGAGACAGAGUUUCACUUUUGUUGCCCAGGCUGGAGUUCAGUGGCGUGAUCUUGGCCCACUGCAACCUCUGCCUCCCGGGUUCAAGUGAUUCUCCUGCCUCAGCCUGUCAAGUAGCUGGGAUUACAGGCGUGUGCCGCCACACACGGCUAAUUUUGUAUUUUUAGUGGAGAUGGCGUUUUACCAUGUUGGUCAGGCUGGUCUCGAACUCCUGACCUCAGGUGAUCCACCCACCUUGGCCUCCCAAAGUGCUGGGAUUAGAGGCAUGAGCCACUGUCCCCGGCCUCCUGGCUUCCUUCUGGACCCACAAGGGGCAGUCUCAAAAUAGCCAAGGGAUUGGAAGAAGUUGAAAUUGACGCUGCCCAGGAAAGGAGUUCUGAGUGCUGAGCUGCAGGGUGAGGCAUAGGGAAUGUGGGGAAGAGGCUUUUCCUUGCCAUCUUUCUGUCAAGUGGUGUUACCGGAAUAGAGUGUGUCAACCUUAAAUGCCCCCGAAGGGUGGAAGGCAUUGCUUUUCUGUGUGCGAUAAGGCCAGAACUUGGUCGUAGAGGUUCAGGGCAGAAGCCAGAUUGCCAGUAACUUUGCCGUAUCAUCAUUAUAUAUAUAAACACAUCGUGACAUUGGAAUUGUUGGAAAACUUUCCUGAAACUUUUUUUCUCUGCUCAUUCAGAGAUACAUCAAGUUUCUCCGAAUUUCUGUAUAAUACAUUAAAUUAUAAACCCUCGAAACCAGAAGGUUAUUCUAGCAGGAGUACCAGUACAGGGAUCUCAGGAAUUCUGGGGGAUUUCCUUCAAUUUUACUGACAGAAGAGUUUGGAAUAGUACAUGUUCAACUAGAGUUGGUUGUCUAAUAAAAAUAAAAUGUUCUCAGAACUCCUUUAAUUCCUACAUUUUAUGAUUGGUGUUUUUUUUUUUUAACUUUUUUUUUAGCCUAACACUUUUUAUUCUUAGGUAAGGAUACAAGAUCAAGAAGAAAAGGUUCAACGUAUCAACUUUUACAGGUAUCGGAUAUUGUAAGUUAAAUAAAACUCCUUCAUUUCUUCAUUCUUCACUUGGCAACUGUUAAAGAGAGUCAGUUCUAAAAACCCAUAUAUUUCACAAUGCUUUGGAAAAUGACAGAAAGCUCCAACAAUGAGGGCUGAUCAGCACACUUGAGAGGUCGUGCACUUCUUCCACAGAGUUCCUAUCUCAACUUCUUCCUUUCCCAUCCCCCCACCUUCACCCCACACCGGGACUUGCCAUGGGUUCUAUUUGAUCUCCCUGUCUCUGGUCCUCCCUGCUCCAUUUAAUCUGGCAUAUCAUAACCAAAGGAGUAUUUCCAAAAUGCUGCUUUGACCAAGAUGCUUUUCUGUUCAGCAACCUUACCUCUUCAAUUUAACAUUCACAGUUCUCCCCGGUCCAAUUCUAAAUGGCCUUUCCAGCCCUAUUUCAUAUUAGAACUCUCCUUAUCACCAUAACUUGCAUUUCUGUAUUCUUUUUCCUUUUGGGGAUCCAUACUCCUUCCUUUUGUACAUCUAUACUUUCUCACUGGGUUCCCUCCACCAAAACCUCCUCCUGCUUCCCAGCGAAUUCAGCCUUGGAGAUGUGGCUGGACUCUUUAUCUUCUCUGCCCACUGCUUCUGAAAAUGAUCUCUCCUUCCUCUGACCUAUAGUAGUGACUCUGCCAAUUUCAUUUCAGGUGGCAAUUUACAAUAGGUUGCCUUUUGAUACUUCUUAUGUUG